UACAGAGGGUGCAAGCGUUGUCCGGAUUUAUUGGGCGUAAAGAGCGUGUAGGCGGCCACACAGGUCUGCUGUGAAAACUCGAGGCUCAACCUCGAGCUGUCGGUGGAAACCGUGUGGCUAGAGUCCGGAAGAGGAGAGUGGAAUUCCCGGUGUAGCGGUGAAAUGCGCAGAUAUCGGGAAGAACACCCGUGGCGAAGGCGGCUCUCUGGGACGGUACUGACGCUGAGACGCGAAAGCGUGGGGAGCAAACAGG
This 253-nucleotide ribosomal RNA is filed under the name uncultured bacterium. RNAcentral's name for it is "partial 16S ribosomal RNA". It matches the Rfam family "Bacterial small subunit ribosomal RNA", at positions 524 to 776 of the family's 1533-position model. The record is from RNAcentral.